ACGGGAGAGCGUUACUCGGAAUCACUGGGCGUAAAGGGCGGSGUAGGCGGUUAGGUAAGUUGGAUGUGAAAGCCCACGGCUCAACCGUGGAACUGCGUCCAAAACUGCCUGACUAGAGUCCGGGAGAGGCAGGUGGAAUUGGUGGUGUAGGGGUAAAAUCCGUAGAGAUCACCAGGAAUACCCAUUGCGAAGGCGACCUGCUGGAACGGUACUGACGCUGAGGCGCGAAAGUGUGGGGAGCAAACAGGAUUAGAUACCCUGGUAGUCCACGCCCUAAACGAUGGAUGCUAGUCGUUGGGACCCAUGAGGUUUCAGUGAUGCAGCUAACGCAAUAAGCAUCCCGCCUGGGGAGUACGGCCGCAAGAUAAAAACUCAAAGGAAUAGACGGGGACCCGCACAAGCGGUGGAGCAUGUGGUUUAAUUCGAAGAUGCGCGAGAAACCUUACCUGGGCUUGACAUCCCUGGAACCCUGCAGAGAUGCGGGGGUGCCCUUUUUAGGGGGAGCCAGGUGACAGGUGCUGCACGGCUGUCGUCAGCUCGUGUCGUGAGAUGUUGGGUUAAGUCCSSCAACGAGCGCAACCUUCGCCCUUAGUUGCCAGCACUUCGGGUGGGAUUCUAGUGAGACUGCCGGGGUUACCGGGAGGAAGGUGAGGAUGACGUCAAGUCAUCAUGGCCCUUAUGCCCAGGGCGACACACGUGCUACAAUGGCGCGUACAGAGAGAGGGAUACCGCGAGGUGGAGUAUUCUUUAAAGCGCGUCCCAGUUCGGAUCGGAGUCUGCAACUCGACUCCGUGAAGUCGGAAUCGCUAGUAAUCGCGGAUCAGCCAUGCCGCGGUGAAUACGUUCCCGGGUCUUGUACUCACCGCCCGUCACACCAUGGGAGUUGAGCUCACCCGAAGCCGGGGGACCGACCCGUAAGGGAGGACCCUCGUCGACGGUGGGCUC
Molecule: ribosomal RNA, 945 nt
Filed under: uncultured bacterium
Lineage: Bacteria
Description: bacterial SSU rRNA
Rfam family: Bacterial small subunit ribosomal RNA
Source: RNAcentral